This 68-nucleotide transfer RNA is filed under the name Neodiprion qinghaiicus. Its description in RNAcentral is "tRNA-Val". Lineage: Eukaryota; Metazoa; Arthropoda; Insecta; Hymenoptera; Diprionidae. The record is from RNAcentral.
CAAAUUAUAUAUUAAUAAAUUUUUUAUUUACAAUAAUUAAAUUAGUUGUUUGAAUCAACUUAAUUUGA